AAGUUGCUGUUAGAUAAUCAGCUUAGUGCUGCUGUAAACACUUCAGAUACUCAUCACAUUUACACAUUCACGAAGAAAUGUCAUGAAUUCCUAUAUUUUCAUAUUCAUAUUACAUGAACUACUGUUCUGUUAAGUAUUUAUCAUGAAAUCAUGUUGAGUUUCAAAGUGUUUAAAAAAAGAGUGGAAAAGGAAACAUGUUAGUUACUUUAAUUCAAGAAAAUAACAACAGAUCAAGUUUUACUCACACAAGGAAAAUGUGAAUGAAAUUAAUAAAUUGAUGUUGAUCCAAACAUUAAAUGAACAGAUGAGGACAUUUAAUUUAAAGAAAUAUGUCAAAUAAAUUGCAUUUAAAUCAGCUGUACAACAGAUAAAACACUAAUUCUGAGCCUCUGGAGAUUUUAAAGAAGAAUGUUUGCGGUUAUUACAGCUGCAUAAAACAUAUCAACAUUUUAACAGCAGUUCUGAAAUAAAUGUAUUUCACAGAACACAUUGUUCAUUCACUACGUACAGAAAAUCAACAAUAUCAACUGAACACUUGAGCAAAUCUAAGAUACACAUAAGAUGCUGCAGGCAAAAUAAAUAUGUAUAUUCUGAAGCUGAUUUCUAAUAAAACUCAUCACACUGAAACACCAUCAAGAUUAUCUAUAAAACUCACUGUAUGUGCAUCCAUCUGUUCUUUUACUAAAUGUGGCCAAAAAUAUUUGUAAAACAUGUUUUGUAGUUGGAAAUACAUUAUCCAUAACUGCAAAUGCAAUAAAAUUAACCCCCAAAAAGCAUCAUAUUUGUUAAAUACAAAAACAACAUAUAAAGUCUCAUGUUAACUUCUAGUUUGGCAGUGAAAAGCACAAAAGAUCUUUUCUCUCGGCACAAAUCAAAAGCUAAAAACACACGAGAACGUCCGGAGAGUCCCAUUAAAGAACAGAGACACUCUGGGAUUUUUCAGCUUUACAGACCUGCUUCAUGAAUAUACUAUAUUUACAUAUCCAGUACUAGGUCCCUAAUCAUUUAUAUUAGGUGUCUUUUACUACUAUGUACUAACAUUAAAAUACAUACAAUAUAAUGUAUUUAUUGUGUAACUACAUGUUGUACAGGUUAAAGUUGGGUCAGGAUAAGGUUAGGACUAGGUUAAAGUUAGGUCAGGGUAAGGUUAGGGCUAGGUUAAAGUUAGGUCAAUGUAAGGUUAGGGCUAGGUUAAAGUUAGGUCAGGGUAAGGUUAGGUUAAAGUUAGGUCAAUGUAAGGUUAGGGCUAGGUUAAAGUUAGGUCAAUGUAAGGUUAGGGCUAGGUUAAAGUUAGGUCAAUGUAAGGUUAGGGCUAGGUUAAAGUUAGGUCAAUGUAAGGUUAGGGCUAGGUUAAAGUUAGGUCAAUGUAAGGUUAGGGCUAGGUUAAAGUUAGGUCAAUGUAAGGUUAGGGCUAGGUUAAAGUUAGGUCAAUGUAAGGUUAGGGCUAGGUUAAAGUUAGGUCAAUGUAAGGUUAGGGCUAGGUUAAAGUUAGGUCAAUGUAAGGUUAGGGCUAGGUUAAAGUUAGGUCAAUGUAAGGUUAGGGCUAGGUUAAAGUUAGGUCAAUGUAAGGUUAGGGCUAGGUUAAAGUUAGGUCAAUGUAAGGUUAGGGCUAGGUUAAAGUUAGGUAAAUGUAAGGUAAGGGCUAGGUUAAAGUUAGGUCAAUGUAAGGUUAGGGCUAGGUUAAAGUUAGGUCAGGGUAAGGUUAGGGUUAGGUUAAAGUUAGGUCAGGGUAAGGUUAGGGUUAGGUUAAAGUUAGGUCAGGGUAAGGUUAGGGCUAGGUUAAAGUUAGGUCAGGGUAAGGUUAGGGUUAGGUUAACAGUGUAACUACAGAUGUAAUUUAAUGCAGGUACUUUAAGUAUAAUACAACAACAUGUACAUAAGUACAUUGUAUGAAAUGAUUAAGUACAUAGUAG
Myxocyprinus asiaticus (Chinese sucker) is the source of this 1913-nucleotide long non-coding RNA. RefSeq lists it as uncharacterized. Lineage: Eukaryota; Metazoa; Chordata; Actinopteri; Cypriniformes; Catostomidae. The record is from RefSeq and is a predicted model, not a curated record. The transcript has 3 exons.